Molecule: non-coding RNA, 74 nt
Organism: Podarcis lilfordi (Lilford's wall lizard)
Lineage: Eukaryota; Metazoa; Chordata; Lepidosauria; Squamata; Lacertidae
Source: the annotation of a GenBank genome assembly
GCCUGGCAUAGCUCAGUCAGUAGAGCAUGAGACUCUCAACCCUAGGGUUGUGGGUUUGACCCCCAUGUUGAGCU